RNAcentral lists this transfer RNA (84 nucleotides) under archaeon. Its description in RNAcentral is "tRNA-Leu". It matches the Rfam family "tRNA". From Rfam's summary of the family: Transfer RNA (tRNA) molecules are approximately 80 nucleotides in length. RNAcentral also lists the same sequence under 1 other name. The record is from RNAcentral.
GCGGGGGUGCCUGAGUGGUUAAAAGGGCAGGACUUAAGAUCCUGUGGCUUAGUGCCUACGGAGGUUCGAAUCCUCCCUCCCGCA